AGAGUUUGAUCCUGGCUCAGGAUGAACGCUAGCUACAGGCUUAACACAUGCAAGUCGAGGGGAAACGACAUCGAAAGCUUGCUUUUGAUGGGCGUCGACCGGCGCACGGGUGAGUAACGCGUAUCCAACCUGCCCAUCACUUGGGGAUAACCUUGCGAAAGUAAGACUAAUACCCACUGACGUCUCUAGAAGACAUCUGAAAGAGAUUAAAGAUUUAUCGGUGAUGAAUGGGGAUGCGUCUGAUUAGCUUGUUGGCGGGGUAACGGCCCACCAAGGCUACGAUCAGUAGGGGUUCUGAGAGGAAGGUCCCCCACAUUGGAACUGAGACACGGUCCAAACUCCUACGGGAGGCA
Molecule: ribosomal RNA, 353 nt
Filed under: uncultured bacterium
Lineage: Bacteria
Description: bacterial SSU rRNA
Rfam family: Bacterial small subunit ribosomal RNA
Source: RNAcentral